GAGUGCUGAAGAUAUCCUUACAAUAAAGCAUGAAGGUGAAUGUACAGAAGUCACUCAUGAAAUGGCUGAUUGCAGCAAGUAUCACCAGACCAGAGGACAUGUCCUUUGCAAAACAAGCCCUCCAGAAGUUUGUGGCACAGAUGGUGUGACAUAUAAGAAUGAAUGCAUGCUCUGUGAUCAGAUUCUGAAUACUAAAUCUGAGAUUGGCAUAAAGAAUAUAGGACCGUGUCCUGAG
Molecule: long non-coding RNA, 235 nt
Organism: Candoia aspera
Lineage: Eukaryota; Metazoa; Chordata; Lepidosauria; Squamata; Candoiidae
Exons: 3
Source: RefSeq, a predicted model, not a curated record